AGAGUUUGAUCCUGGCUCAGGAUGAACGCUGGCGGCGUGCCUAAUACAUGCAAGUCGAACGCGGGCACUUGUGCCCGAGUGGCGAACGGGUGAGUAAUACAUAAGUAACCUGGCCUUUACAGGGGGAUAACUGCUGGAAACGGCAGCUAAGACCGCAUAGGUAGGGACACUGCAUGGUGACCGUAUUAAAAGUGCUGCAAGGCACUGGUAGAGGAUGGACUUAUGGCGCAUUAGCUGGUUGGUGAGGUAACGGCUCACCAAGGCGACGAUGCGUAGCCGACCUGAGAGGGUGACCGGCCACACUGGGACUGAGACACGGCCCAGACUCCUACGGGAGGCAGCAGUAGGGAAUUUUCGGCAAUGGGGGGAACCCUGACCGAGCAACGCCGCGUGAAGGAAGAAGGAAUUCGUUCUGUAAACUUCUGUUAUAAAGGAAGAAAGACGGAUGGAGGAAAUGACAUCCGAGUGACGGUACUUUAUGAGAAAGCCACGGCUAACUACGUGCCAGCAGCCGCGGUAAUACGUAGGUGGCAAGCGUUAUCCGGAAUUAUUGGGCGUAAAGAGGGAGCAGGCGGCAGCAAAGGUCUGUGGUGAAAGACUGAAGCCUAACUUCAGUAAGCCAUAGAAACCGGGCAGCUAGAGUGCAGGAGAGGAUCGUGGAAUUCCAUGUGUAGCGGUGAAAUGCGUAGAUAUAUGGAGGAACACCAGUGGCGAAGGCGACGAUCUGGCCUGCAACUGACGCUCAGUCCCGAAAGCGUGGGGAGCAAAUAGGAUUAGAUACCCUAGUAGUCCACGCCGUAAACGAUGAAUAGUAAGUGUUGGAAGUCAAAUUUCAGUUGCUACAGUACAUGCAGUGUGUCCUCUGCCUGGGGAGUAUGCACGCAAGUGUGAAAAUCAAAGGAAUUGGCGGGGGCCCGCACAAGCGGUGGAGUAUGUGGUUUAAUUCGAAGCAACGAGAAGAACCUUACCAGGCCUUGACAUGGGAUGGGAAGAUGCAGAGAUGCAUCGGAGGUCAACAUCCACACAGGUGGUGCAUGGUUGUCGUCAGCUCGUGUCGUGAGAUGUUGGGUCAAGUCCCGCAACGAGCGCAACCCUUGUGGCAUGUUGCUAACAGGAAAAGCUGAGGACUCAUGCCAGACUGCCGGUGACAAACCGGAGGAAGGCGGGGAUGACGUCAAAUCAUCAUGCCCCUUAUGGCCUGGGCUACACACGUACUACAAUGGCGGCUACAAAGAGCAGCGAGACAGGGAUGUCGAGCGAAUCUCAUAAAAGCCGUCCCAGUUUGGAUUGGAGGCUGCAACCCGCCUCCAUGAAGUUGGAAUCGCUAGUAAUCGCGGAUCAGCAUGCCGUGGUGAAUACGUUCCCGGGCCUUGCACACACCGCCCGUCA
This 1389-nucleotide ribosomal RNA is filed under the name uncultured bacterium. RNAcentral's name for it is "16S ribosomal RNA". It matches the Rfam family "Bacterial small subunit ribosomal RNA". The record is from RNAcentral.